This 560-nucleotide small RNA is filed under the name Oryza sativa Japonica Group (Japanese rice). RNAcentral describes it as "sRNA Os10g0406150". The record is from RNAcentral. Lineage: Eukaryota; Viridiplantae; Streptophyta; Magnoliopsida; Poales; Poaceae.
CAUGGAGUACUUGAUGGCCUCCUGAGCAGUUGCCGGUGGCAGGAAAUCGUUUACGGCGACCUCUUUGUUUUCAUUCUUCUUUCUUCAAAGAAGCGGCGGAUUUCAGCAAGUCGGUGAGGAGAGAGCUCCUUGAGAUCAUUGAAGUGGCGGAACUCGGGAUCAUCAACGCAAACCGCGAUGAUCUUAUCAUCUUUCUCACCCUUUUAUCUUGGAGAAUUACUCCAACUUAAAUGAACAAAAAAAAUUCAAUAGCACCAUGCUCACCUGCAUCAGGACCAGCACAUCCAUUGGAUCCCCAUCUUCGCACAGCGUUCGCGGUAUGAAACCGUAGUUGUGCGGGUACACCACCGAUGAGUAUAGCACCCUAUAAUGUGUACCUUGAUCAUUCCAGUCUUCUUGUCAAGCUCAUACUUCACUUUGCUCCCCUUUGUGAUCUCAACAACCUACAAAAAAAAACAUGUCAGGUCCAGAUGCAUCCUGAAAUAAAUCGCAGAAUGCGCAGCCACGGAUCGCUUCGAGAGCGACGACAGGAUCCGCUCAUUCAGGCAUGGGGUCUUCUU